This 29-nucleotide non-coding RNA is filed under the name Homo sapiens (human). The record is from RNAcentral. Lineage: Eukaryota; Metazoa; Chordata; Mammalia; Primates; Hominidae.
CAGAAAAUGGGAGAUUGUGAAUGGGUGUA